Molecule: ribosomal RNA, 496 nt
Filed under: uncultured bacterium
Lineage: Bacteria
Description: partial 16S ribosomal RNA
Rfam family: Bacterial small subunit ribosomal RNA
Source: RNAcentral
ACUCAAAGGAAUUGACGGGGGCCCGCACAAGCAGUGGAGCAUGUGGUUUAAUUCGAUGCUACGCGAAGAACCUUACCAGGGUUUGACAUCCCAGUGUAAUCCUUUAGAAAUAGAGGACCCCUUCGGGCACUGGUGACAGGUGGUGCAUGGUUGUCGUCAGCUCGUGCCGUGAGGUGUUGGAUUAAGUUCCGCAACGAGCGCAACCCUCGUUGCUAGUUGCCAUCAUUAAGUUGGGCACUCUAGCGAGACUGCCAGCGUCAAGCUGGAGGAAGGUGGGGAUGACGUCAAAUCAUCAUGCCCCUUACAUCCUGGGCUACACACGUGCUACAAUGGCCGGUACAACAGGUUGCUACCUCGCGAGAGGAUGCGAAUCCCCAAAGCCGGUCUCAGUUCGGAUUGCAGGCUGCAACUCGCCUGCAUGAAGCUGGAAUUGCUAGUAACCGUGGAUCAGCAUGCCGCGGUGAAUACGUACUCGGGCCUUGUACACACCGCCCGU